UAUCCGGAAUUAUGGGGCGUAAAGCGCCUGUAGGUUGUUUAUUAAGUCUGUUGUUAAAGACUAGGGCUUAACCCUAGAAAAGCAAUGGAAACUAAUAGACUAGAGUAUGGCAGGGGUAAAGGGAAUUUCUAGUGUAGCGGUGAAAUGCGUAGAUAUUAGAAAGAACACCAGUGGCGAAGGCGCUUUACUGGACCAUUACUGACACUGAGAGGCGAAAGCUAGGGUAGUAAAAGGGAUUAGAUACCCCUGUAGUCCUAGCCGUAAACGAUGGAUACUAGAUGUUGUACGUUUGUACAGUAUUGUAGCUAACGCGUUAAGUAUCCCGCCUGGGGAGUACGCUCGCAAGGGUGAAACUCAAAGGAAUUGACGGGGGCCCGCACAAGCGGUGGAGCAUGUGGUUUAAUUCGAUGCAACGCGAAGAACCUUACCAGGGCUUGACAUACUACGAAUCUUUUUGAGAAAGAGGAGUGCCUUAGGGAACGUAGAUACAGGUGGUGCAUGGCUGUCGUCAGCUCGUGUCGUGAGAUGUUGGGUUAAGUCCCGCAACGAGCGCAACCCUUAUUUUUAGUUACCAAUUCGUUGGGUUUUUUAGAAAGACUGCCGGUGACAAACCGGAGGAAGGUGAGGAUGACGUCAAGUCAGCAUGCCCCUUAUGUCCUGGGCUACACACGUGCUACAAUGGUUAAGACAAAGAGUCGCAAGCUCGCGAGAGUAAGCUAAUCUCAUAAACUUAGCCUAAGUUCAGAUUGUAGGCUGCAACUC
RNAcentral lists this ribosomal RNA (762 nucleotides) under uncultured marine haptophyte. RNAcentral's name for it is "bacterial SSU rRNA". It matches the Rfam family "Bacterial small subunit ribosomal RNA", at positions 542 to 1313 of the family's 1533-position model. The record is from RNAcentral. Lineage: Eukaryota; Haptophyta.